UAUUCGUUAUUUUCCUUCCUCCGAGGUUUAUUGUCGUAAAAUGUUUCUAAUCGCGCGUUAAUAAUCAAAAUAAUGUUUAUCAACAUCGUCGUCGUCGUCGUCGUCGUUGUCAUCAUCGUGGUGGAAAGAAAAGGCAGAGAUAAUAUUUCGUAACGGGGUGAUAACACAGUCUGCGCUUCUUGUUAAUCCCAAACGUUGUGACUGCGAACUGCAUACAUACAUUGGUUAUCCAAAUCAACAUCGUAUUAUACUUGUUUUAAUAAUGACAUCAGAAAGGAACGAAUAAAACGCUGAAAAAACUUGUGUCGCAAACGGUUUCUCGAUUGGUGUGAUUUUCUGUGUUCUCGUGGUCAAAGUUUCAUUGGUUAGCCGUUGGCUGUCAACUGAUUAAACAACAUUACGUUAUACUGGUGCUUCUGGCGAGUACAUAAAACGUCAUAUCGCGAAACGUAUGUUACAAACGAACAUUACAUACGCGUGAACAAUUGUAAAUUUUUAUCUUAAUUUUUAUUCAUAUUUCAUUCCCCACGGUUUUAAUCAAAAGUUAUAAACUAUCGCGAAAAAGUUUGAUAGUAAGACUUGGUCGAUGAUAAAACCUAAGAAACAGUCAACAGAACGAGGACAAAUCCACCGACUCGAGCCAGUUUCGAAUUGGUCGUAAAGAAACUGAUACAAGCAAAAAAAAAAAACACAACACAAAACACAAGAGGAGAGAAGAAGAGAAGACCAGCAGCAUCGAUAACAUAAAUAUACACGUGUGUGUAGUACAAAGGAUAAACAAGAAAGUAACGAAAAUACGAAGUAAGAAAAUAUAAUGGUGCUGUAGUUUUAUGAAAGAUUAGAAUCGUUGAGCCAACGUCGAGAGCGCGGAGCGUGGAACUCGUGAUAGCGUUGCGAGGCGGCGAGCAGCCGUUGGAGUAACCAACUCGUGGUACUGAGUCGGCGUCAUCGAUGACUUGAGAAGGAGAGGCGAGGAGCGGAGCGAAGGAGGCGGCACUCGUUCGCCGGAAUCGUUGCUCGAGUCCCGAGCCCAAGUCGUGGCGGCGUCAUACCGGUAGAAAACUGUGCGUGCCUGCGGUAGCAACAGCGGCAGCGAUACAACGGAGGUGUUUGUAAUCGUACUGGUUUUCGGUUUGAUUCCGUGCGAUGAGUAUCACGUGAACAAUCGCCCUGUGUGCAUCGCUCGUCGAGUGCCGCGUGUAUAAUUUAUCGCUUCGAUCGUUGUUGUUCCCCAGUCCCUCGUUUUCCUCUUCGAUUAUUUGUGAAUAUCGCGUUCCUACCGCGUUUUUAAAACUGACGUAAAACCAGCCGAAGGGGGAUAUUCCGAUUCAGUUUCCACUUGUUCUUCUUCGCUACUUCACCGUUUGCAGAACUCGUAGGAGAACAACAAAGGCUCAGUGGUUCUUGAGACGUGAAAGAAGAAAUAUACACACAUAGAAGAAAGGCAGAGAGAAAAAGCGAAAAGGAGAAAGUGAGCGAGGAAGAGAGAUAGAAAGAAAGAGAGAGAGAGAGAGAGAGAGGGGGGAGAGGAGAGAGAGAAAGAGAGAGAAAGUAUAGUUUAAAAAAAGUUGAUAACAGAGAUAGAAAGUAGCGACGAAAAAGGAGUUAAAACGAAAAAGAAAAUACAACUAAAUACGCAUGAACACAUGAAAAAAUUUGUGCUUUUUGUUCCGCGAUUAAAAUAAUAUAUCGAAUAGAAGUUGAAGUUUGGUGAUAAAGCAGUAAAAAGAAAAACAAAAAGAAAACAAAAACCUUAACAAACAAAAACUAUAUAAAGAACGAGAUAUAAAUAAAGAAAUGGCGAUGGUAAACAUGAAUAACCUAUUGAACGGAAAAGAUUCGAGGUGGCUACAGUUGGAAGUGUGCCGAGAGUUUCAACGUAACAAAUGUACGAGGCCUGACACGGAGUGCAAAUUUGCACAUCCACCAGCCAACGUUGAGGUACAAAAUGGACGAGUCACCGCUUGCUACGACAGUAUCAAGGGUCGAUGUAACAGAGAGAAACCACCUUGCAAGUACUUCCAUCCGCCACAGCAUCUUAAAGACCAGUUACUAAUCAACGGUCGGAAUCAUCUCGCGUUGAAAAACGCCUUGAUGCAUCAGAUGGGCCUUACACCAGGACAGACCUUAGUGCCAGGCCAGGUGCCCGCUGUGGCGACGAAUCCGUACCUGACAGGAAUGCCACAGGUCGGUAGCACCUACAGCCCGUACUUCGCGCCUGGCCCCAUAAUGCCAGCGAUAAUGGGUCCAGCCGACCCGACGGGGGGCGUCGGAAGUCCGCUUGGCGUAGUUCCGCAGACGGUCGCCGUACCCCAGAAAAUGCCAAGGAGCGAUCGACUCGAGAUGGACAUGAAAUCAGUCGGGUCAUUCUACUACGAGAAUUUUGCCUUCCCCGGAAUGGUACCGUACAAACGUCCAGCCGGCGACAAGUCGGGCAUGCCUGUGUACCAGCCCUCGGGAGCGGCGACGACCUACCAGCAGCUGAUGCAGCUACAGCAGCCAUUCGUCCCCGUCUCAUUUACUGGACACCCUCCCGGUGUGCCAAGAUUUUAAUCGUCAGUUAUGCAAUCGACCAGCCUGCAAGUUCGUCCAUCUACAUGACGGAAGCGUAGAGGUGAUCGACAACCGUGUCACGGUAUGCCGAGACGCAGCUAAGGGUGCCUGCGUACGUCCCCAGUGUAAAUAUUACCACAUACCGGUAUCUCUACCACCGGCACCCCUGAUGGCGUUCUCAGCAUCGGUAUCAUCGUCAUCGCCGUCGUCAGCAUCAUCAGCAUCAUCAGCAUCACCUGCAACAGCCUGCGGCAACACCAUUCAAACGUCAGCAAGUCGUAUAAGUAAUAAUGCUAACGUAACGUCGUCGAAUGCCGUCGUUUUCGCGGCGGCGACUAUCAACGAAAAAACGAACAGCAACGCAGCUUUAGCCCUGCAGUAGCUAUAAAAUAAUAAUCUCUUUGAAUAAAUAUUAGAAGGAAAGGAAAACCUUGAGCAAAUAUUGAAAUCGGAAUAUACAACAGAAAACAAAGAUAAUAAUGAUAAUGAUAAUAACAAUAAUAAUAAUAAUAAUAAUUAUAAUAUACAAGGUUGUG
Molecule: unclassified non-coding RNA, 3089 nt
Filed under: Neodiprion lecontei (redheaded pine sawfly)
Lineage: Eukaryota; Metazoa; Arthropoda; Insecta; Hymenoptera; Diprionidae
Description: protein muscleblind, transcript variant X8
Source: RNAcentral